CCCAUUUCAUCACUCCCGUGCGCCGCUGAAAUCUCUCUCCCAUCUGCGCCCUUCCAAUUCCCUCCGCCGCCCGACUCCUCGGUUCUCCUUCCAUCUUCAAUUCUCCACCCCCUUCCCGAUGCCUCCCACCCUUUUUAUCUGGCCCUAAUUCUUCACAGCAAUAGGAAGGUCUUCAGGCAAUUUCUCGAGAAGGCUCUGCUACUCCUUCUAAGAUUUCUCUCCUGUGUGUGAACGAGGCCUUCCUUGUUGCUGUGAGAGUUAUCACCGGAUUCCUGCCCACCGGAUUCCUGAUUGGUGAUACUCUGGUUGAUUGUGUUGUCAUCGGAAUUCCUGCCCUUAGGAUUCCUGCUGUUGGUGACUGACCAUCUGAGAUCUGAGCGCCGAUCUGCUCUCACCAUUCCUUUGUGCUGUGAUCAUUAACGCUGCCGGAAGAAGCUCUGCCUACCGUGGGAAAAUCUGAGCCAAAGUGUCCCGAGGACACAUUUUCCCACUUCAAUCAUUUCUGCACUUUCCUGCUCUUCUGUCUCAUUUUGCUUUUCUUCACUUUGUAUCAGUUUACUUGUUGGUUUAUUGGUGUUCUACAGGUACAGGUACAAGAGGAGUGAAGACGAAGAAGAAGAAGGAACGUGAAGCGGAUCCCGGCACUAGAGUGUCGAGUGAGAAGGACCGGAGGUUCGGGAAACAAGAGGAGUAAUCCCGGCAAGGCGAAGAUACCCAACAGUGGUAUCAGAGCCACGGGGACCUUGCCGGGGCUCCCCCCGAACACAUCCCUCUCACCCCGCCGCCCUUUGGCUGCGCCGAUUCGCUCCCGACGAGCAAGGAUUAAGGUAAAUCUGGACUUUCCCCUACCUGGGAAUCCAGCUCUGGUAAAUUGGCUUAAGACCCUAAAACUCCUAGUCAUUAGGAUUGGUGUUGCCUGCUGUUUUUUCUUUGUUGUAUGUUACUGUUUGGUCUUGGUAUCUUGCUUUUUCUUUGUUGUAUGUUACUGUUUGGUCUUGGUAUCUUGCGAUCCUGAUCUUUUGUGUGCUUCCGCUUGUUGCCUUAUAUCUCGAUAACCCUCUGGCAGUCAAAGCCAAGUGAGGUUCUCCCUUGCAUUUGGUCCAGUUCGUCUGGAUUCUCCUUUAAAGGAGUCUCCUCGUGCGAGUACCCUGGAAAUCAAGGGAGAAAGGGGGCUAUCUAGACAGGCUGUGUGUGCUUUGGUUCCUUAUUGUUUCCGCUGUUGUUUUGCUCUCUCUGGUGUUUCUGCUUUGUUCUGUAAAAGCUCUCUUGGAUUGAGAGUUUUACCCUUCUUUGGACUCAGAUAGUCCUCUUGGAACUUCUUGGAGGGACCAGUGUGAAACCUUGCUCCACAGAUCAAUCUGUGCUGAGAUCUGGGCUCUUCCCUGCUCCUGAACUCCAGAAGUUUCCUUCCUUGAGGUCCUAGUGACCUUUUGUUGUGGUGUUACUUGCUCUGUGGUCUGACUGACCUGUUACUCUGGUGUGGUUGUUGUGGUUUUCUGUGAAAAGUGUGUUUGCUUAAGUGCUGCAUCUGCAUUCACCAUGAACAACUUGCAUUUGGUGCCAUUCAAUGGCCGGGAUGAUUUUCAAGAUUGGAAGACCAAAAUAGAGUGCAUUUUAGUCAAAGAAAAGGUUAAAAAAGCUUUAUUAUCUAAAAUAGACAAGUCUGUGACUGAUGAAAAGCUGCAUGAUAUGAAUGAUAAUGCUAGGGCUACCAUUUUGUUAAAUCUGAGCAGUUCUGUGGUUAGGAAAGUGUCUCAUCAUUUAUGUGCUAAAGAUUUAUGGGAUGAUUUGAACUCUAUUUACUCCACUUCAUCUGAAGAAUCUGCAUGGACCUUACAAAAUCAAUUUAUGAAUUUUCAAAUGGAUCCUUCAAAGGAUGUUGAUUCAAAUCUUGAUGAUUUUCAUAAACUUUUGCAUGAUUUGAAAAUUGCUGGAGAUGACAGUAUUGAGAAGUAUGCCCCUCAGAUUCUGUUAAGUUCUAUUCCUGAGUCCUUUUCUGAAGUAAAAUCAGCUUUAAAAUAUGGUGGGUCUAAGGUUUCUUGUGAAAUGAUUAUCAAUGGUCUUAAGACCAAAGAAAAUGAACUUAAACUGCAAAAACCCAAGUCUCUUCAGGGUGAGGUUAUGUAUGUGAAUAAGGAUAAUCAAAGAAACCCUCAUCAUCAUUUUUCUAAGGGCCAGAAGUCUGAUCAUCAUAAAAAUGCUGCUCCAAAUGAACAAAGGGAAGACAAUAGGUUUGAUCAUAAUCAGAAUCAAAAUAGGAAUCAAAAUCCUGAUCAGAAACCUAGGAAAGUGUGUUGGAAUUGUGGAAAACCGGGCAUUUCAUAAAUAGGUGCAAGUUGCCUAAAAAGAAUAAGAACUUUGUUCCUAAUGAGCCUAAACAGCAUGCAAACAAUGUUUUUGAAGAAGAUGGUGUCUAUAUGGUCCAUGACUAUGAUUUUCAGUACAUUAAUUACUCAAAUUCUGUGUCUAAAUCUGUAAGUUCAAAUGAGUGGCUGAUUGACUCUGGUUGUACUUUCCAUGUGACCCCAUUUGAGCAUAUGUUUCAAAACCUUCAGUUGGUCAAGUCUGGGCAUGUUUCUUUGGCUGAUGGUCAGAGUUGUGAUAUCUUGGGUAAAGGUGAUGUCUGUCUGAAAUUUGAAAAUGGGAGUCUUCUUACUUUGAAUGAUGUUAGAUUUGUACCAAACUUGAAAUUCAGCCUGCUUUCAGUGUCUAAAAUUGCUGAUAAAAUGCUAAAUGGUUCUGUGAACUACUUGAGAUUCCAAUUUGAAAAAGACUCUAUGCUUUACUUUACUGCUCCAAGAAAGGGAGACUUGUAUGCUGUAAGUGCUGAGUCAGUUCCUUUACCUGUUGCUAAUGUGGUCCAUGAGGACAAAUCUGCACUCUGGCAUGCUAGAUUAGGACACAUGAGUAACAAAGGCAUGGAAAUUCUGAAAAAACUGGUGUGUUUGGUAAUGAUAAAGUUUCUGAGCUUCCUUUCUGUGAACCAUGUGUGAUGGGAAAACAUCAUAAGUCUGCUUUUCCAGUUUCUGUUCCUUAUCCUAGAAAGCAUGUUAGCACUGAGAUACUUGAAUACCUGCAUGCUGAUGUUUGGGGUCCUGCUAAAGUGCCCACUCAUGGUGGAAACAUGUAUUUUCUAUCUGUCAUUGAUGAUUUUUCAAGAAAAACUUGGGUCUUUUUAAUGAAAAACAAAUCUGAUGUGUUUGAAAAAUUGUCAACGUGGGCUACACAGAUUCAAAAUCAAACUGGAAAAAGGAUUAAAUGCAUUAGGACAGAUAAUGGUCUUGAAUUCUGUAAUCAUGCUAUGGAUAACUGGUGCAUUGAGUCUGGUAUCAUGAGGCAUAAGUUUGUUCCUUACACUCCACAGCAAAAUGGAGUGGUUGAAAGGAUGAAUAGAACUCUCCUUGAGAGAGUUAGGAGCAUGCUUGUUGCAUCUGGCUUGUCUAAACAUUUCUGGGGUGAGGCCCUCAUGACUGCAGUGUAUUUGAUCAACAGAUCCCCUUCUGUUCCCUUACUUGGCAAACUCCCUGAAUCUGUGUUUUAUGAUAAACCUAUCUGUUUAAAGCAUUUGAGAGUAUUUGGGUGUGCUGCAUAUGUUCAUCAAAAUGUUGGGAAACUAGAACCUAGGGCUAAGAAAUGCAUAUUCCUUGGUUAUCCUGAAGGGGUAAAGGCUAAGGUGUGGGAUAGGUCAGUUCCUGGAUUCAAAACUUGUGUGAGCAGAGAUGUGUCCUUCAAUGAGUUUAACUUUCCUUGUUUACUUGAAUCCUCACACUCUGCUACUCCAAGUGAGGUGGAGAAAAUGCAUGUCUAUGACUACAACAGAUAUGAGUUUAUGUUUACCCCACCCAUGGAUCCUCCUGAGGUGGAUCCUCUGCCCAAUGAUCCUCAUACUUUGACUGAGCAUGCUGAAACUGACCCCACUCCCAACCCUGAACUCAACAUUGAUCCCACCAACCCUGCACCUCUGAUAAUACCUUGAAUGACUAUCAACUUGCUAGGGACAGAGAAAGGAGGAAUAUCAGACCUCCUGCUAGGUUUGAUGAUUAUAACUUGUCUUUGUAUGCUUUCAAUGUGUUCAACAAUGUGGAUUACUCUGAACCCUGCACUUAUUCUGAUGCUGUUAAUUCUGCUGAGUCUGAUAAGUGGUUGACUGCUAUGAAUUCUGAAAUGAAGUCUCUGCAUGAUAAUGAAACUUGGAUUUUAGUCAAGAAACCUGAGGACUGUUCUGUUGUUGAGUGUAAAUGGUUGUUUAAGGUCAAGCAUGAAACUGAUAACAUUAGAUACAAGGCUAGACUUGUAGCUAAAGGCUUUACACAAAAAGAAGGCAUUGAUUAUAAUGAAAUAUUUGCUCCUGUUGUUAAGUUCACCACUGUGCGCAUUAUGCUUGCCUUAUGUGCUCAUUUUAACUGGGAACUAAAGCAAAUGGAUGUUACUACUGCCUUCCUUCAUGGUGAUCUUGAAAAUGACAUUUAUAUGAAACAGCCUGAGGGUUUUGUGAGUGAGGAGUUUCCUGAUCAUGUGUGUUUGCUGAAAAAGUCUCUAUAUGGUCUUAAACAGUCUCCAAGACAAUGGAAUCUCAAAUUUGACAAAUGCAUGCAGAACUUGAACUUUUCUAGAAGUCAAUUUGAUCAUUGCUUGUAUUACUCAAAUUCUGAACCUCCUGUGUUUCUGUUAUUAUAUGUGAUGACAUGCUUUUCUUGGCCCUUGUCUGCAAACCAUUGAAAAUGUGCAGAAAAAAGUUGUGUGAAAACUUUGACAUGAAAAAUCUUGGUGAUGCCAAGAAAAUUUUGGGCAUGAGCAUAGAAAGAGAUAGGGAGAAAUCCACUUCUGUGCAUCAAGUGAUUAUGUGAAACAAGUCUUUGAAAUUCAAAUGGAAAAUGCAGAUCUGUAACUGUGCCUCUUGGUUCUCAUUUUGAAUUAAGUAAAAAGCAAUGUCCUAAAACUGAUCUUGAACUUGAAGAAAUGAGAAACAUUCUAGCUAAUGCUAUAGGCUCUGUCAUGUACUUGAUGAUUAGUACUAGGCCAGAUAUUGCUUAUGCUGUUUCUUGUUUGAGUAGAUAUAUGGCAAAUCCUGGUGUUUCUCAUUGGGAAGCUUUGAAAUGGUUGCUCAGAUAUUUGAAGUCUACUAUGCAUUAUGGUCUGAAUUUUGCUAAAGCUCAAGAUGGUAUUAAAUGUGUUGGAUAUGUGGAUUCUAACUAUGCAAAUGAUAGGGAUAGUAGGAAGUCCUCUACUUCUUAUGUGUUUACCUUGUGUGAUGCCUGCAUUAGUUGGAAAUCUCAAUUGCAAAACAUUGUUGCCUUGUCUACUACUGAAUCUGAGUAUAUUGCUGCAACUGAGGCUGUGAAAGAAGCUCUUUGGCUUGAUGGUUUGCUGUCUGAAAUUAGAUACAUUGAUGAUAAACCCAUUGUUUUCUCUGAUAGUCAAUCUGCCAUUCAAUUAUGCAAAAACCCUGUGUUCCAUGAUAGAACUAAGCAUAUUGAUGUUAAAUAUCACUUCAUUAGGGAUGUAGUUGAAAAAGGAAAUGUUUUGCUUGAUAAAAUUCCCUCUGAAUUCAAUCCAGCAGAUAUGGGCACCAAGUGUCUUCCAGUUGCAAAGCUGGAAUCUUGCUUGGAAACUUUGAAUAUUGGUCCUGGUUAAUUUCCUUUGUGUCUUUGUGUGAUAAGUUCAGCCUCUGUGGCUGCUUGUCUCUUCUUUGUCUAUGUUUUUCUUUUGUUGCAUGAUGAGUAUUGUCUUUGUGCUCCCUGUUGUGUUCUGGUCUGUAUGCCUGCUGUUGUCCUGUGUUUGUUUUCCGUUUAUGUCUCUUUGUUCUGUUUGUGUGUGCCUGCCUUGUUAUGCUUUGUUUUUUGUUGUCUGCUCUGUCUGUUUGUCCUUCUGUGUGUGUUUGUGUGAUGUUGCUUAGUGCAUGUGUGUGUGUCUGUGUGUCUUCAAUGAUAACCCUUUGGGUUUGAGAAAUGGUGAUUUCCCUUGGGUUGGUCUCUGUUGUUGAGAUUGAGUUAAAUAUGCAUAAUAUUUUUCUCACCCUCUAUUGUCUUGUCUUUGUGAUAGGAUGAUAGUAAAAAUGGCUGUGAUGAUAAAGCUCGAAUCAAAGGCUGGCUCUUCCCUGGUGACUUAAUGAUCAUUGUGCCAAAGGUGGAAUGUGGAGUGUUGGCCCAAUUCUCAUUAAUUCCCUUAGCCCAAGCCCAAGCCCAAGCCCAUCCCCUUUAUAUCCAACCUCCCAUCAGCCAACCCUAAAUCCCCUAAUUCCAUGCGCCGCUGUGAUAUCUCUCUCCCUCUCUCACCUGCGCCUCUCCAUCUUUCCCUCCGCCGCCCGACUCCUCGGUUCUCCUUCCGUCUUCAAUUCUCCACCCCCUUCCCGAUGCCUUUCACCCCUUUUAAUCUGGCCCUAAUUCUUCACAGCAAUGGGAAGGUCUUUAGGCAAUUUUCUUGAGAAGGCUCUGCUACUCCUUCUAAGUUUUCUCUCCUGUGUGUGAUCGAGGCCUUCUCUGUUGCUGUGAGAGUUAUCACCGGAUUCCUGCCCACCGGAUUCCUGAUUGGUGAUACUCUGGUUGAUUGUGAAGUCAUCGGAAUUCCUGCCCUUAGGAUUCCUGCUGUUGGUGACUGACCAUCUGAGAUCUGAGUGCCGAUCUGCUCUCACUGUUCCUUUGAGCUGUGAUCAUUAACGCUGCCGGAAGAAGCCGAGUCUACCGUGGGAAAAUCUGAGCCAAAGUGUCCCGAAGACACAUUUUCCCACUUCGAUCUUUUCUGUUCUUUCUUGCUUUUCUGUCUCCUUUCGUUUUUCUCUCUUUGUAUCAGUUU
This 6792-nucleotide long non-coding RNA is filed under the name Salvia miltiorrhiza (redroot sage). RNAcentral describes it as "long non-coding RNA (SMIL_LNC000230)". Lineage: Eukaryota; Viridiplantae; Streptophyta; Magnoliopsida; Lamiales; Lamiaceae. The record is from RNAcentral.